AGUCAAGCCGCAAUAACCGACUAAUAUGAGCCUGUGUUCCGUAGUUGCAAGGCGUAAAGCCUUCUACAUUUUACCUUCAGACCUCUUGGCUAUAAACGAUUGGACAACAAUUUGUAGAGCACGCUUUUGUUGCAUCAACCAGGACUGGCAAUCACGUCGUUCAGAUGAUGAAUCCGAUUCAGACUUCGAAGAUAGACAUCAAGAUAUUGAAAUGCAUACUAAGAAACACAGAUUAAGUGACUUACGGCUUUCAGGAAGAAGAAUUCCUACUAGUAAACUUUACGAAGGGCUUAAGUAUGAU
This is a long non-coding RNA of Varroa destructor (honeybee mite), 301 nucleotides long. RefSeq lists it as uncharacterized. The record is from RefSeq and is a predicted model, not a curated record. NCBI's taxonomy places the organism in Eukaryota, Metazoa, Arthropoda, Arachnida, Mesostigmata, Varroidae.